Molecule: long non-coding RNA, 1167 nt
Filed under: Junco hyemalis (dark-eyed junco)
Lineage: Eukaryota; Metazoa; Chordata; Aves; Passeriformes; Passerellidae
Description: lncRNA (ENSJHYG00000002190.1)
Source: RNAcentral
CUCUGUCCCAAGCUUCCAGCCGGGCUCAGGCUGGCUGUGCUCAGCAUUAAGCUCUGCCCAAGUGCUGCUCGGUUUUCCAGACCCAGCCCAGUGAAGUUCAGCAGUGAGAUCCUUGGAAGUGUUGGCAUCUCGCAGUGUUUCUGGUGUUUCUCACCCUCUGUUUCUCUCAGGGUGAUGUGCCAUGGCUGAUCCUCUCUCCAAGUCCGACCUCGUUGCAGCCUUGGCUCUCUUUGCUGGUGACCCAACCUACUUUCAGCUGGAUCAUGGAACCUUUGGACAGACAGUGCCGUGUAAACCUAAAACAGGUAUGGAAACAAAACCAAUAUUCUUCAUUUCUUGGAUCUUUGGAUUGCUAUUUAAUUUUAUUUUUCCUUAUUUUGCCUGAAAAUUAAUGAAUUAUUAUUUUUUAGCAGAAGCAUUGUUCUAUUCUGUUACCCUGGCACAAUUCUCAUCUGUUUCUCCAAUAUAAAUGAAAUAUUCAGGAAUAUUUUCAUAAAUGCUGUCAGGGUGGAAAUUCAAGGCUGGUGAAUUUACCUGUGUAGGUCUAAAAACAAUUUCCUUUUUUUGGGGUUUUUUGCAGUAAAAAUUCACCAAAAAUUCCCAGUUGCAGAAAAACAGAUGGCUCAAAUUCAGAAUUACAUUUUCUGCACCACCCUCUAAUUUGUGGGAAGAAGCACAAAUUCCCAUAUAUAAAUCAUAUAAAUAAUGAUAAAAUCAUAUAAAUAAUGAGAAUGAGAAACAGCUGUGGAAAGGGAAUUUUUUCUGUGUUUUUUUGUGGGGUUUUUUUGUGUAUUUUUUGUGGGUGUUUUUUUUGGUGUGUGGGAGAUUUUUGUGUGGUUUUUGGUGUCUUUUCUUUCUUGUAAAUUUUUGCGUAAUUUUUUUUCCGUUAUUUUUUGCGUAAUUUUUUUUGUGUGAUUUUUCUGUGUAUUUUUUGUGGGUUUUUCCCUGCUUUUCUCCAUAUAUUUUCCCUGCCAUGCCUUUUUCCUGCCUUUUUCUCAUCUUUUCCCCAUUUUCUCCCCAUCUCCUUCCCAUCUUUUCCUGGUCUCUUCCCUGCCUUUUUCCCUCUCGUUUUCCCCAUUUUUCCCUGUUUUUUUCCCCCUCUCUUGUAUUUGCCCUGUCUUUUUCCCUUUUCCCUGUUUUUUCCCAUCUUUUUCCUGUUGUUUCUCC